RNAcentral lists this ribosomal RNA (2433 nucleotides) under human gut metagenome. Its description in RNAcentral is "bacterial LSU rRNA". It matches the Rfam family "Bacterial large subunit ribosomal RNA", at positions 3 to 2518 of the family's 2925-position model. The record is from RNAcentral.
UCAAGCUAAAAAGGGCGCAAGGGGGAUGCCUUGGCAUUGGUAGCCGAUGAAGGACGUAGCGAUCUACGAUAAGCCACGGGAAGUCGAAAGCAGGCAAUGAUCCGUGGAUUUCCGAAUGGGGAAACCCGGCAGAGCAAUACUCUGUCAACUCCUUGUGAAUAAAAUAGCAUUGAGUAGGGAACCUCCUGAACUGAAACAUCUAAGUAGGGAGAGGAAAAGAAAUCAACCGAGAUUCCGCUAGUAGUGGCGAGCGAACGCGGAAGAGGCCAAACCAAGAGUAGUAAUACUUUUGGGGUUCGGACUGAGGACGGUAUUGACAAGAGUUAGUAGAAUGAAAUGGGAAGUUCAACCAUAGAGUGUGAGAGUCACGUAUACGAAAACUUAAGUCAGCCAUCAGUAUCCAGAGUACCGCCGGACACGUGAAACCCGGUGGGAAUACGGGGGGACCACCCUCCAAGCCUAAAUACUCACCAAUGACCGAUAGUGUAUAGUACUGUGAAGGAAAGGUGAAAAGAACCCCUGGCGGGGAGUGAAAAAGAACCUGAAACCUUGUGCCUACAAGCACAUAGAGCACGUCAACGUGUGAUAUGGUACCUUUUGUAGAAUGGUCCGGCGAGUGAAUGUCACUAGCGAGGUUAAGAACUUAAGGUUUGCAGCCGAAGCGAAAGCGAGUCUUAAUAGGGCGAGUUUAGUUAGUGGUAUUCGACCCGAAACCGAGUGACCUAGCCAUGAGCAGGCUGAAGUGGAGGUAAAACUCCAUGGAGGGCCGAACCCACUCCCGUUGAAAUGGUAGGGGAUGACUUGUGGCUAGCGGAGAAAUUCCAAUCGAACUCGGAGAUAGCUGGUUCUCUCCGAAAUAGCUUUAGGGCUAGCCUCAAUUAACAUUACCGCAGGUAAAGCACUGAAUGGGCUAGGGGGCGAAAGCUUACUGAACCCUAUCAAACUCAGAAUGGCGGAUAAUGAAUAAUUGGGAGUCACACUACGUGAGAUAAGUUUCGUGGUGGAAAGGGAAACAGCCCAGACCCACAGCUAAGGUCCCAAAGUACAGUUAAGUGGAAAAGGAUGUGAAGUUGCGCAGACAACCAGGAUGUUGGCUCAGAAGCAGCCACUCAUUUAAAGAGUGCGUAAUAGCUCACUGGUCGAGUGAUUUUGCGCCGAAAAUUUAACGGGGCUAAACUGUACACCGAAGCUUGGGAAUAUACCAUAUGGUAUGUUGGUAGGAGAGCGUCGUAUGCGGGGUGAAGUCGUAGCGAAAGCGGCGGUGGACUGCAUAGGAGUGAGAAUGCCGGAAUGAGUAGCGAGAAUUAUGUGAGAAUCAUAAUGGCCGAAAGUCUAAGGUUUCCUGAGGAAGGUUCGUCCUCUCAGGGUUAGCCGGGAGCUAAGGUGAGGCGGAAACGCGUAGCCGAUGCACAUACGGUAGAAAUUCCGUAGCCUCCGAAGAUUUAAGCACAGGGACACUUUUGAAGGACUGAGCCGGGCGUUGGUUGCCCCGGUCGAAAGGGACACGAGUGAGUGGAAGUCAGUUUGGAAAGAGGCGAGAAAAGCUGUGUGUAUAUGGAAGGAGCCCGUACCGCAAACCGACACAGGUAGACAGGAAGAAGAUUCUAAGGCCAACGGGAGAAGGGUUGUUAAGGAACUCGGCAAGUUGACCCCGUAACUUCGGAAUAAGGGGAGCCUCGAAAGAGGCCGCAGAGAAUAGGCCCAAGCAACUGUUUACCAAAAACACAGGUCUAUGCUAAAUCGAAAGAUGACGUAUAUGGGCUGACGCCUGCCCGGUGCCGGAAGGUUAAGAGGAGAUGUCAGGCCGCAAGGCCGAAGCAUUGAAUUGAAGCCCCGGUAAACGGCGGCCGUAACUAUAACGGUCCUAAGGUAGCGAAAUUCCUUGUCAGGUAAGUUCUGACCCGCACGAAAGGCGUAACGAUUUGGGCGCUGUCUCAGCUGUAGACUCGGUGAAGUCUUAGUACCUGUGAAGAUGCAGGUUACCCGCGACUAGACGGAAAGACCCCAUGGAGCUUCACUGCAGGUUGAUAUUGGGAUUUGAUGCAGCAUGUACAGGAUAGGUAGGAGGCAAAGAGAUGGAUACGCCAGUAUUCAAGGAGCCGCUGUUGGGAUACUACCCCUGUUGUAUUGGAUUUCUAACCGGACGACGUAGAGCCGUUGACGGGACAGUGUCAGUCGGGCAGUUUGACUGGGGCGGUCGCCUCCCAAAGAGUAACGGAGGCGCCCAAAGAUACCCUCAGCUUGGAUGGAAACCAAGCGCAGAGUGCAAAGGCAAAAGGGUGUUUGACUGCGAGACCUACAAGUCGAGCAGGGACGAAAGUCGGGCUUAGUGAUCCGGCGGUGCUGAAUGGAAAGGCCGUCGCUCAACGGAUAAAAGCUACCCUGGGGAUAACAGGCUGAUCUCCCCCAAGAGUCCACAUCGACGGGGAGGUU